AAUCGAACCCGGAGAUAGCUGGUUCUCCCCGAAAUAGUUUUAGGACUAGCCUCAAGUUAGAUACCUGGAGGUAAAGCACUGAAUAGCCUAGCGGCCGAGAGGUUAGCGAAGCUUAUCAAACUCAGAAUGCCAGAGUAUUGAUGCUUGGGAGUCAGACAGUGUCAGAUAAAUGUCAUUGUCAAAAGGGAAACAGCCCAGAUCUACAGCUAAGGUCCCAAAGUCAGGUUAAGUGGAAAACGAUGUGAAGAUACGCAGACAACCAGGAUGUUGGCUCAGAAGCAGCCACUCAUUCAAAGAGUGCGUAAUAGCUCACUGGUCGAGCGUCUUUGCGCGGAGAAUUUAACGGGGCUAAACCUGACACCGAAGCUUAGGCAAUACAGCAAUGUAUUGGGUAGGGGAGCGUUGUAUACGCGGAGAAACAGUAGCGCAAGCGGCUGUGGAGUGUAUAGAAGUGAGAAUGCCGGAAUGAGUAGCGCGAAUGCAGUGAGAAUCUGCAUGGCCGAAAGCCUCAGGUUUCUGGAGGAAGGUUCGUCCGCUCCAGGUUAGUCGGGAGCUAAGGUGAGGCCGGAAGGCGUAGCCGAUGCACAGACGGUAGAGAUUCCGUCACCACCAAAAGAGUUAAGCACAGGGACACAUUUGAAGUCUCAGAGCCGGGUGUUGGUUCCGGUAGAGAUCGAGGGAAAUUAGUACCGAAGUCUGAGAUGGAAGAUGGCGAGAAAAGCUGUGUGUAUUUCUGAGGUGCCCGUACCGCAAACCGACACAGGUAGGUAGGAAGAAGAUUCUAAGGCCAACGGGAGAAGGGUUGUUAAGGAACUCGGCAAAUUGACCCCGUAACUUCGGGAGAAGGGGUGCUCCAGAGAUGGAGCCGCAGAGAAUCGGCCCAAGCAACUGUUUACCAAAAACACAGGUUUGUGCUAAAUCGAAAGAUGACGUAUACGAGCUGACGCCUGCCCGGUGCUGGAAGGUUAAGAGGAGAUGUGCAAGCAUUGAAUCGAAGCCCCAGUGAACGGCGGCCGUAACUAUAACGGUCCUAAGGUAGCGAAAUUCCUUGUCAGGUAAGUUCUGACCCGCAUGAAAGGCGUAAUGAUUUGGGCACUGUCUCAACAGCCCGCCCGGCGAAAUUGUAGUACCGGUGAAGAUGCCGGUUACCCGCGACAAGACGGAAAGACCCCAUGGAGCUUUACUGUAGCCUAAUAUUGGGUUUCGAUGUUGCAUGCACAGGAUAGAUGGGACACUGGGAAACAAUCGCUUUGGCGGUUGCGGAGUGGCCGUUGGGAUACCAUCCUUGCGAUAUUGGAAUUCUAACCUGCGGCUCUGAAUCGAGUCGGGGGACAUUGUUAGGUGGGCAGUUUGACUGGGGCGGUCGCCUCCUAAAGAGUAACGGAGGCGUUCAAAGGUUCGCUCAGCUUGAACGGAAAUCAAGCAAAAGAGUGCAAACGCAGAAGCGAGCCUAACUGCGAGACUGACGGGUCGAGCAGUAACGAAAGUUGGAGUUAGUGAUCCGGUGGUAUGUGAGUGGAAAUGCCAUCGCUCAACGGAUAAAAGUUACCCUGGGGAUAACAGGCUGAUCUCCCCCAAGAGUCCACAUCGACGGGGAGGUUUGGCACCUCGAUGUCGGCUCAUCGCAUCCUGGGGCUGUAUUCGGUCCCAAGGGUUUGGCUGUUCGCCAAUUAAAGCGGUACGCGAGCUGGGUUCAGAACGUCGUGAGACAGUUCGGUCCCUAUCUGUCGUGGGCGCAGGAUAUUUGAUGGGAGCUGUCCCUAGUACGAGAGGACCGGGACGGACGUACCUCUGGCGCACCAGUUGUUCCGCCAGGAGCAUAGCUGGGCAACUACGUACGGAUCGGAUAAACGCUGAAAGCAUCUAAGCGUGAAGCCGACCCAAAGAUAAGAUAUCCCAUUGU
RNAcentral lists this ribosomal RNA (1903 nucleotides) under human gut metagenome. RNAcentral's name for it is "bacterial LSU rRNA". It matches the Rfam family "Bacterial large subunit ribosomal RNA", at positions 831 to 2820 of the family's 2925-position model. The record is from RNAcentral.